UCAGCGACUUAUAUUCUGUAGCAAGGUUAACCGAAUAGGGGAGCCGUAGGGAAACCGAGUCUUAACCGGGCGUUAAGUUGCAGGGUAUAGACCCGAAACCCGGUGAUCUAGCCAUGGGCAGGUUGAAGGUUGGGUAACACUAACUGGAGGACCGAACCGACUAAUGUUGAAAAAUUAGCGGAUGACCUGUGGCUGGGGGUGAAAGGCCAAUCAAACCGGGAGAUAGCUGGUUCUCCCCGAAAGCUAUUUAGGUAGCGCCUCGUGAAUUCAUCUCCGGGGGUAGAGCACUGUUUCGGCUAGGGGGCCAUCCCGGCUUACCAACCCGAUGCAAACUGCGAAUACCGGAGAAUGUUAUCACGGGAGACACACGGCGGGUGCUAACGUCCGUCGUGAAGAGGGAAACAACCCAGACCGCCAGCUAAGGUCCCAAAGUCAUGGUUAAGUGGGAAACGAUGUGGGAAGGCCCAGACAGCCAGGAUGUUGGCUUAGAAGCAGCCAUCAUUUAAAGAAAGCGUAAUAGCUCACUGGUCGAGUCGGCCUGCGCGGAAGAUGUAACGGGGCUAAACCAUGCACCGAAGCUGCGGCAGCGAACGUAUCACCCAAGACAACUUUGCGGAGUUGACGAUUGACGGAGCGAAGCGACGUCAAAGCGUUCAUUAAAGUCGAGUUGGCUUAGGGAUACGUUCGUUGGGUAGGGGAGCGUUCUGUAAGCCAGUGAAGGUGUGUCGUGAGGCAUGCUGGAGGUAUCAGAAGUGCGAAUGCUGACAUAAGUAACGAUAAAGCGGGUGAAAAGCCCGCUCGCCGGAAGACCAAGGGUUCCUGUCCAACGUUAAUCGGGGCAGGGUGAGUCGACCCCUAAGGCGAGGCCGAAAGGCGUAGUCGAUGGGAAACGGGUUAAUAUUCCCGUACUUGGUGUUACUGCGAAGGGGGGACGGAGAAGGCUAUGUUGGCCGGGCGACGGUUGUCCCGGUUUAAGCGUGUAGGUGUGUGUUCCAGGUAAAUCCGGUUCACUUUAACACUGAGGCGUGACGACGAGGCACUACGGUGCUGAAGCAACAAAUGCCCUGCUUCCAGGAAAAGCCUCUAAGCAUCAGGUAACAUCAAAUCGUACCCCAAACCGACACAGGUGGUCAGGUAGAGAAUACCAAGGCGCUUGAGAGAACUCGGGUGAAGGAACUAGGCAAAAUGGUGCCGUAACUUCGGGAGAAGGCACGCUGACACGUAGGUGAAGUGAUUUACUCAUGGAGCUGAAGUCAGUCGAAGAUACCAGCUGGCUGCAACUGUUUAUUAAAAACACAGCACUGUGCAAACACGAAAGUGGACGUAUACGGUGUGACGCCUGCCCGGUGCCGGAAGGUUAAUUGAUGGGGUCAGCGCAAGCGAAGCUCCUGAUCGAAGCCCCGGUAAACGGCGGCCGUAACUAUAACGGUCCUAAGGUAGCGAAAUUCCUUGUCGGGUAAGUUCCGACCUGCACGAAUGGCGUAAUGAUGGCCAGGCUGUCUCCACCCGAGACUCAGUGAAAUUGAACUCGCUGUGAAGAUGCAGUGUACCCGCGGCAAGACGGAAAGACCCCGUGAACCUUUACUAUAGCUUGACACUGAACAUUGAGCCUUGAUGUGUAG
RNAcentral lists this ribosomal RNA (1622 nucleotides) under Salmonella enterica. RNAcentral describes it as "partial 23S ribosomal RNA". It matches the Rfam family "Bacterial large subunit ribosomal RNA", at positions 620 to 2141 of the family's 2925-position model. The record is from RNAcentral. Lineage: Bacteria; Pseudomonadati; Pseudomonadota; Gammaproteobacteria; Enterobacterales; Enterobacteriaceae.